This 549-nucleotide ribosomal RNA is filed under the name uncultured Glomeromycotina. RNAcentral's name for it is "SSU rRNA". It matches the Rfam family "Eukaryotic small subunit ribosomal RNA", at positions 548 to 1098 of the family's 1831-position model. The record is from RNAcentral. Lineage: Eukaryota; Fungi; Glomeromycota.
UUGGAGGGCAAGUCUGGUGCCAGCAGCCGCGGUAAUUCCAGCUCCAAUAGCGUAUAUUAAAGUUGUUGCAGUUAAAAAGCUCGUAGUUGAAUUUCGGGAUCAAUUUAUUGGUCGUGCCAACGGUACGCACUGGUACAAUUGGUUUCUCCCUUCUGACGAAGCAUGAUGUCAUUAAUUUGAUGUCGUGGGGAAUCAGGACUGUUACUUUGAAAAAAUUAGAGUGUUUAAAGCAGGCUUUGGCUUGAAUACAUUAGCAUGGAAUAAUAAAAUAGGACGUUUGAUCUUAUUUCGUUGGUUUCUAAGAUCGACGUAAUGAUUAAUAGGGAUAGUUGGGGGCAUUAGUAUUCAAUUGUCAGAGGUGAAAUUCUUGGAUUUAUUGAAGACUAACUACUGCGAAAGCAUUUGCCAAGGAUGUUUUCAUUAAUCAAGAACGAAAGUUAGGGGAUCGAAGACGAUCAGAUACCGUCGUAGUCUUAACCAUAAACUAUGCCGACUAGGGAUCGGAUGAUGUUAAUUUUUUAAUGACUCAUUCGGCGCCUUACGGGAAAC